This 992-nucleotide long non-coding RNA is filed under the name Calidris pugnax (ruff). RNAcentral describes it as "lncRNA (ENSCPUG00000014230.1)". Lineage: Eukaryota; Metazoa; Chordata; Aves; Charadriiformes; Scolopacidae. The record is from RNAcentral.
CGGUGACAGGCCGCGGCCCCGCCACGGUGACGGGCCCCAGGCCCGCCGCGGUGACAGGGCGGGCCCUGCAGCCGGGCCAGCCCCGCGGCUCAGACGGAGCCCGGGGUGGCGGGGACGGGAGGGUGGCCCGGAGAGGGGUUUGGCCGCUGCGGAGGGAGGGCGGGACCGUCCCGCUAGCCGACAGGGCCUCCCCGGGGCCGGGGGUCGCGGUGCUCCCGGCGCUGUCGGGAGCGAUCCCUGGCUUCGGGGCUCCCUGCUGCAGGAGGACGCGGUCCCCGCUGAAGGAAAACUGGUUUGCUGUUGCCCCCACCUGGAGGAUAACCGGAGGGAGUCGCGGUGGUCGGGAGCGGGACGGGGUCGCGGCGUUCCAGGCCGUUUCCCUGGGAUGAAAUUAACAAAAUGAGAGAAGCCCACAUUAAAACACGGACUUUCAGCAUCACUGCAAAAGUGGAAUGCGGUAGCAUAAUUUCUGUAUUAAACAUUUACCUUCGGCUGAGGUAGCUAUAAUAAGACGGUGAUUUUCCCUCUUGGUACGCUCCGGUCCCUUGUGGUUCAGAGGAGCCCCCCCAGCAGCCACUGCUGUGACUCCCACCUCCUGUAGACAUGCUGAAGGUGGCUCCCAGGGCUGAUGAGGCUCAGCAGGAGCUCACCGUGGAGCUCUCUCCCUGCUGUGCUCCUGCGGGCUUCCCGGCUGCAGGGAGCUGCUGGGAGAGCACGGAUGUGCUGCCGGCGCUGUCGGAGCGAGCGCGCACCACCUUGGUAUUUGCCAUUUUGACUAAACCAAUGGUUUCAACUGGGAUCCAUGGACUACUCCUAAAGGAUCUGCAAAAGGAGAGGACCAGCCCGUCCUCGCCGCCGUGGCCCGUCGGAUGGAGUGUGUCCCCCCCAGCCCGGGCUUUGGGGCCGGCGGCGGGGCUGGGGGACACCCCCCCACACACACACACCCCCCUCCAGCCCCCUCGGCCCCGGUCCCGCCGGUGCAUCCCUGCCCC